RNAcentral lists this long non-coding RNA (668 nucleotides) under Phoenix dactylifera (date palm). RNAcentral's name for it is "long non-coding RNA (PDAC_LNC019724)". Lineage: Eukaryota; Viridiplantae; Streptophyta; Magnoliopsida; Arecales; Arecaceae. The record is from RNAcentral.
CCAUUCAGAAAACAGCUACCACUUACUUGCAGAAACAAAUACACCUAAAAAAAGUUCACAGUAAUAGGAGACAAAUAUACUAACCAAUACAAGAAUUUGACUUUCACAAAAGAACAGCAUAUAACAAGUAAAAGCAUUGAUAAAUACCGAUGACCUAGAGAAUAUCAAUUAUUCUUGUAUCAGCGCCUAUUCACAAACCCAUUCAUGGUAUAUACAAAAAAAGCAUGCUGAGACCUAAAAUAUUUCUCCAGCACUCCAAGAUCAUGAUCUGAUGCAUAACAUAUAUAUACAUCAUCAGAACUCGUCCAAAGUCUACCUUCUCUUUUUUUUCCCUUCAAAUUCUUUCAGGGUCACCAUGUUAUAGCAUUGCCAUACAAGGAGAAGCAUGGCCAAACAAAAAUCGGGAGAUUCAGAAGCAGUGGCUUGAACGUCCCUAAACAUCACUAAUCUGUUGAAUAAAUUGUGAGGCGACAAAAAAUAAAUUAAACUAAAUUGUACUGUCAUACGAUAAGACAUCUGUCAAUCGCAAUGGAAUAUUAUGGCGGACUAAGAAAAGAAUGAAAAACCUGACUAGCGACUUUGUUUCUGGAUUGAACUCGAAGCACAAGAGUAAGAAAGGUGAAAUUUUGAACCAGUGGCAAUGAUAAAGGAAUCUAUAAACUGGAUCG